RNAcentral lists this ribosomal RNA (304 nucleotides) under uncultured bacterium. RNAcentral describes it as "partial 16S ribosomal RNA". It matches the Rfam family "Bacterial small subunit ribosomal RNA", at positions 506 to 807 of the family's 1533-position model. The record is from RNAcentral.
CAGCAGCAGCCGCGGGAAUACAGAGGGUGCGAGCGUUAAUCGGAUUUACUGGGCGUAAAGCGUGCGUAGGCGGCUUCUUAAGUCGGAUGUGAAAUCCCUGAGCUUAACUUAGGAAUUGCAUUCUAUACUGGGAAGCUAGAGUAUGGGAGAGGAUGGUAGAAUUCCAGGUGUAGCGGUGAAAUGCGUAGAGAUCUGGAGGAAUACCGAUGGCGAAGGCAGCCAUCUGGCCUAAUACUGACGCUGAGGUACGAAAGCAUGGGGAGCAAACAGGAUUAGAUACCCCCGUAGUCCCUGUCUCUUAUAC